AGCAGCUGCGGUAAUUCCAGCUCCAAUAGCGUAUAUUAAAGUUGUUGCAGUUAAAAAGCUCGUAGUUGAAUUUCGGGAUCGAAUUGUUGGUCGUGCCUCGGUACGCACUGGCAUUAUCGGUUUCUACCUUCUGAAGAACCGCGAUGUCAUUAAUUUGGUGUCGUGGGGAAUCAGGACUGUUACUUUGAAAAAAUUAGAGUGUUUAAAGCAGGCUUACGCUUGAAUACAUUAGCAUGGAAUAAUGAAAUAGGACGUUUGAUUCUAUUAUGUUGGUUUCUAGGAUCGACGUAAUGAUUAAUAGGGAUAGUUGGGGGCAUUAGUAUUCAAUUGUCAGAGGUGAAAUUCUUGGAUUUAUUGAAGACUAACUACUGCGAAAGCAUUUGCCAAGGAUGUUUUCAUUAAUCAAGAACGAAAGUUAGGGGAUCGAAGACGAUCAGAUACCGUCGUAGUCUUAACCAUAAACUAUGCCGACUAGGGAUCGGAUGAUGUUAAUUUUUUAAUGACUCA
Molecule: ribosomal RNA, 507 nt
Filed under: uncultured Glomus
Lineage: Eukaryota; Fungi; Glomeromycota; Glomeromycetes; Glomerales; Glomeraceae
Description: SSU rRNA
Rfam family: Eukaryotic small subunit ribosomal RNA
Source: RNAcentral